RNAcentral lists this ribosomal RNA (292 nucleotides) under uncultured bacterium. RNAcentral's name for it is "partial 16S ribosomal RNA". It matches the Rfam family "Bacterial small subunit ribosomal RNA", at positions 505 to 796 of the family's 1533-position model. The record is from RNAcentral.
GUGCCAGCAGCCGCGGUAAGACGAACCGUGCAAACGUUGUUCGGAAUCACUGGGCUUAAAGGGCGCGUAGGCGGCUUGCAAAGUCAGGGGUGAAAUCUUUCGGCUCAACCGGAAAAGUGCCUCUGAUACUGGCAGGCUUGAGUGAGGUAGGGGCAUGUGGAACUUCCGGUGGAGCGGUGAAAUGCGUUGAUAUCGGAAGGAACGCCGGUGGCGAAAGCGACGUGCUGGACCUCUUCUGACGCUGAGGCGCGAAAGCUAGGGGAGCGAACGGGAUUAGAUACCCCUGUAGUCC